RNAcentral lists this long non-coding RNA (2962 nucleotides) under Helianthus annuus (common sunflower). RNAcentral describes it as "hypothetical non coding rna". The record is from RNAcentral. Lineage: Eukaryota; Viridiplantae; Streptophyta; Magnoliopsida; Asterales; Asteraceae.
UUUAGCCGGAAACGGUCCCAACUUCGAAAAUAACCAGUGUUGAUUCCACCUUUUCACAUAUUGUAAACCAAUAGAAAUAAAGAGAUUUACGAGGUUAAGUAGUUUAUGCAAAGAAUAUGUAUGAGGUUCUAAUAUUAAUCGCAAGAAAAGAAAUUUGAGAAAGUGUACCUAUACACGAUAUUUUUUGUUAUAUCAAGUGGAGAGUCCUCUUGAGGAACAAUAAGAACCUUUAAAUCGCCUAGUGAGGUGACUCUUGAGAAGGCGACAUAUUGCUGUCCAUGGCUGAAGACUGAAUGUGGUAAAUAAACGCCAAUUUUGGUUAGUGAUUGACCUUGCCUUUUGUUAAUUGUCAUGACGUAGCAUAACUAUACUGGGAAUGGUUUUCUUUUAAAAAAGAAUGGCGGUUCGUCAUUUGUAUGGGUAAGACAUAUUCGUGGUAUAUAUACAUGAUGGUCAAUGGCAAUUCGUGCUAUGACCUGGGCCUCGUUAACUCUAGGUAAUAGCUAUGUGACGAUUAGACUUGUACCAUUACAAAGUCGUGCUGUUUGAUUUAUGUUCCGAAGUAAUAUAAUUGGGGCAUUGACCUUCAAUUCAAGGCGAUGAGGCCGUAAACAAAAAGUAGUUGUUUUGUUUUACCGGUACCUCCAUGCCCGUAAACGAAAAGUAAGACCUGUCUAUUGGACACCAACAUUUGUAUGACCAACUGAUAGAUGGCCUUUUGCUGAGAAUUAAGUUGUGUCCGGUAACACUCAUGGUUGGAGGAAAGCGGAAGCCUAUCAUAAUUCUUCAAACGCCCUUUGAUAUAUACUUGAACAAAUAUUUAAUCAUCAUGUUCCACCUAUAGUACUCAGUGCCUAAUAGUGAAGGCAUGGAUGUCUGUUGUAUGGUACAACGUAAGCAUUAUCUAGUCUAACACCAUUCUUAAGCAUAAAAUGCCCUGUUGAUCGUUUUCUAUAAUGUGUAUAUCCAUUUUUUGUCAAACGUCAUUGUUGCCUCGUAAGAUUUUGGGAACUUCUUUGGGCAAGAGGAUGAUGACAUGCAGGGUGCAUUAAUUAGGCUUGGUGAGGCCACAUGGUCCAUGCAUCUUCAUAACUUUAUACAAUUCUGGUUCAAUGAUGACAUCGGGGAUCUCGGCAGAGAUAUAGUUAUCAAGCUAAUCAGGGUUCCUUAUCUUAUGUGAGGAAGUAACCCAUAGUAGCAAAUGACAAAGAGGGAGUCCUCUUUUUUGAAAUUCAUUGUAUAUAGAUCUACAUACAAUUAACAUACAACAUAAGAUUAAGAUAUCAAAUAUUAAGAAGCAGAUUAAGAUAUCAAAUAUUAAGAAGCAAAGUUUGAGGCUAGACAAAAGUAAGGCUAAAUAACAUAGCUACGUGCAGCUACUUGGCCAAAAGGUUUGCUUGUUUUAAGAAUCUUGAUGAGUGCGCCAACUUUAAUUUGAAAGAUCCUGGCAAUAAUAUCUGAAGUUACACGUGAACAUGGUAAACUACUCGUGAUUUCCCAUGAACUCUACAAAUAUCUAAAGCAUCUUGGUAGUGCUUAUACAUGAAAUGUGGGCUGCCAAAGAAAGAUGAUGGAAGAACAGUUCUUUUUCCAAUAUCACGAUCCUUGGUGUCACCACGAAGAAUAGAAUCAUGAAUACCCUAAAGAUAUUCACUUGUAAAGUUUUUUUCGUUCUAGUCGUAUGUUAUCCCGUUGCAUCCGUGAAUAGCGCAACCAACCGCCCUUAUCAUAUAUGAACAAUAAAGGGUAUUAUAAGGGCAUAUAUAUAUAUAUAUAGGGUAGGGUUCAUGCGAGAACCACCCUUAUUGCGAGAACCGCGAGAACCAAUGUGAACAGGGGGUAAUUUUGUAAAUAUAUAGGGUAGGAUAUCUGCCUCCACUAUCGGACUUCAAACAGAAAUUAAAUUACACUUAAUAAACACUUUCACAUCCACACUCAGAACUCUACACUCAGAACUCGAUCACAUCCAAAUCUUUCCACGUUUCUCAACCUGAUUAUCUCAAAAAUUCGUCGAUUACAAUCGAUUACAUAAUCUUCUCGAAUACAUCUUCAGUUCGCCAUCAUCAUCGUCGAUUACAAUCGGUUACAUAAUCGUCUCGAAUACAUCAUCAGUUCGCCAUCAUCAAUUCACCAUAUCAAAGCAUCUGGAUUGAGAUUUUAUCUCAGAUUUGAGAUUUUACUAGCAGAUAUUUCAUAUUUCGUCAUAUAAUCUAGGUUAGUUCCCCAAAUUCGUACAAAAUUAGUCGUAUAAUCUAUAUUAGGAACAUAAUAAUUAGGGCAACAUUGUGGAUUUUUAAUCCGUUCGUAAUUAGGCCAACGUGCCAAUGUGAUUAUAAUAAUAGAUGAUUCAAUGAGUGUGUCACUAUACGGUAUCGUCGGGAAUCAAUCGCCUUCGGUAUUAAGUGUACAUAUGUAUAGUUAUGCACAUGUGCAUAUCUUACCAUAAUAGAUUUGUUAAUGAUUAAUGUUAUAUAUGGUUAGUGAUAAUACGAAUUUUGAUUUGGUACAGGCUAAGAUUUAUUAUUGAAGCAAGCUAACGAAUUUUGAUUUGGUACAGAUUAAGGUUUAUUAUUAAAGCAAGCUUGCUGAUAAGAAUGGGUGCGCAAGAAAAAAUAAACACAAAAAAGGCAGGCAAUUAAGCGAACUCGUGAUGAAACCUCAAAAAAAGGAGGUUACGUGAUGAAACACAAAAAAGGAGGUGACGGAGUGCGUGCGGUAAAGAACAAGAAGUUGGCAACAUCAACGGUAAUUGCGACGAUUGAUACUGAUGACCAUAUGGUUGUAUUCAGAUUCAACAUAAGGUAUCCAAUAUAGCGUGCCAUUAGGUGUAGAUUGUACAAUAGUUGUAAUUGUCCCUGUAGUGUAGAAUGUACAACACUUGUAAUUGUUCAUGUAUACAUAAAAAGUAAAACAUAUAGCAUUCUGAUUAAUAAGGUAUAUGGCGUGUUUACGCACGUGUUCA